GAUGAACGCUGGCGGCGUGCCUAAUACAUGCAAGUCGAGCGAACAGAUAAGGAGCUUGCUCCUUUGACGUUAGCGGCGGACGGGUGAGUAACACGUGGAUAACCUACCUAUAAGACUGGGAUAACUUCAGGAAACCGGAGCUAAUACCGGAUAACAUAUUGAACCGCAUGGUUCAAUAGUGAAAGGCGGCUUUGCUGUCACUUAUAGAUGGAUCCGCGCCGUAUUAGCUAGUUGGUAAGGUAACGGCUUACCAAGGCAACGAUACGUAGCCGACCUGAGAGGGUGAUCGGCCACACUGGAACUGAGACACGGUCCAGACUCCUACGGGAGGCAGCAGUAGGGAAUCUUCCGCAAUGGGCGAAAGCCUGACGGAGCAACGCCGCGUGAGUGAUGAAGGUCUUCGGAUCGUAAAACUCUGUUAUCAGGGAAGAACAAAUGUGUAAGUAACUGUGCACAUCUUGACGGUACCUGAUCAGAAAGCCACGGCUAACUACGUG
This 497-nucleotide ribosomal RNA is filed under the name uncultured bacterium. Its description in RNAcentral is "partial 16S ribosomal RNA". It matches the Rfam family "Bacterial small subunit ribosomal RNA", at positions 28 to 507 of the family's 1533-position model. The record is from RNAcentral.